AUGCUCUUGAAGGAAUCAGUAAAGACUAUAGGCUGUGAGAAAGGGAACCCGAGGCCACGUUCAUGCCUAUCUCCAGGUUUUACCUGCUGUUCCUAUUUUGCCUCUGUGUUCCCUGGACACCACCAUUCCAGUGCAAGAUUUCCGGGGUUGAAUUCAUUUUCAGCAAAAGUUCUCAGAAGUGCUCUGACUGGCAUGGGACCAAGAGGCCACAUGCAGAUUUUAAGUUCUGUCACUGGGGUUUUGGGCAGUUGCCAUUCUGAGGAGGAGCUGAAGAGCACUGCUCUGCCAAAGAAAAAGAAGCUGGGAGAUGAAUCACUGAGUGGUUACCCAGAACAGAGAAUGUUGUCUGCAUUCAUCUAUCUUCCAUUCAAUCUCCCUUCAGAAAGACUAUUAUGGUCACCAAGAGGCAUCCUCUGUUGUCUGCUAAGCCAGCCUGCCUGCCAGAAUCAGAAGAGGAACCUCCAUGUGGGGUUCAUAUUAUGAAAAAGAAGUAAGAGAAGAAAGGCAGGGCAGAUGGGGA
RNAcentral lists this long non-coding RNA (520 nucleotides) under Callithrix jacchus (white-tufted-ear marmoset). Its description in RNAcentral is "lncRNA (ENSCJAG00000068000.2)". The record is from RNAcentral. Lineage: Eukaryota; Metazoa; Chordata; Mammalia; Primates; Cebidae.